RNAcentral lists this ribosomal RNA (634 nucleotides) under Sphingobium sp. Its description in RNAcentral is "bacterial SSU rRNA". It matches the Rfam family "Bacterial small subunit ribosomal RNA", at positions 60 to 740 of the family's 1533-position model. The record is from RNAcentral. Lineage: Bacteria; Pseudomonadati; Pseudomonadota; Alphaproteobacteria; Sphingomonadales; Sphingobiaceae.
AGUCGAACGAGAUCUUCGGAUCUAGUGGCGCACGGGUGCGUAACGCGUGGGAAUCUGCCCUUGGGUUCGGAAUAACUUCUGGAAACGGAAGCUAAUACCGGAUGAUGACGUAAGUCCAAAGAUUUAUCGCCCAAGGAUGAGCCCGCGUAGGAUUAGCUAGUUGGUGGGGUAAAGGCUCACCAAGGCGACGAUCCUUAGCUGGUCUGAGAGGAUGAUCAGCCACACUGGGACUGAGACACGGCCCAGACUCCUACGGGAGGCAGCAGUAGGGAAUAUUGGACAAUGGGCGAAAGCCUGAUCCAGCAAUGCCGCGUGAGUGAUGAAGGCCUUAGGGUUGUAAAGCUCUUUUACCCGGGAUGAUAAUGACAGUACCGGGAGAAUAAGCUCCGGCUAACUCCGUGCCAGCAGCCGCGGUAAUACGGAGGGAGCUAGCGUUGUUCGGAAUUACUGGGCGUAAAGCGCACGUAGGCGGCUAUUCAAGUCAGAGGUGAAAGCCCGGGGCUCAACCCCGGAACUGCCUUUGAAACUAGAUAGCUUGAAUCCAGGAGAGGUGAGUGGAAUUCCGAGUGUAGAGGUGAAAUUCGUAGAUAUUCGGAAGAACACCAGUGGCGAAGGCGGCUCACUGGACUGGUAU